CCCGGAUAAGGUUUUUCCCCAGGUUGUCAUAGACCAGGUCAAUCCCGAGCCUUUCCCCUGGAUUGUACAGACAGUCCAGAGCCAUCUGCAGGGGACUGUCCGCCUCAUCAGCCGCGCACUCCAAGCGCCUCUUCAGGAUCUUCAGGCUGUUGGAUUCUGCCAUAAGCAUGUCCCGCUCGUGGCACAACCCAGACUUCCAGAAGCGGAUGUCCGAUAGCCUCUGGCCCAGGUUCCGGGAGGUUCCCUCUUGCAUCUGGCGUAUCAGCUGGUCCUUGUCGUGUAUGAUCCGUAGGGAGUCGUCUGUCAUCCGGCUGGCCCGGAGCCGCGAUGCCUCUGCCACACUGAUCAGCAGAUCAUUGGAGCGGUCCCACUCGCGUUGGGUAUAGCGAUUGGAGAACGGGGAGCGGAGCGAGGGCAGGGUGG
Molecule: long non-coding RNA, 423 nt
Filed under: Rattus norvegicus (Norway rat)
Lineage: Eukaryota; Metazoa; Chordata; Mammalia; Rodentia; Muridae
Description: long non-coding RNA NONRATT001648
Source: RNAcentral